Anastrepha obliqua is the source of this 439-nucleotide long non-coding RNA. RefSeq lists it as uncharacterized. NCBI's taxonomy places the organism in Eukaryota, Metazoa, Arthropoda, Insecta, Diptera, Tephritidae. The transcript has 3 exons. The record is from RefSeq and is a predicted model, not a curated record.
CUACGUUGGAAAUUGUUACAAAUUAAAAGUCACCACAUUUCCCACAGUUCAUUGAUGAUUUAGUACGUAGCUUAUGUGUGAAUUUAUCUACCACGGGCAUUAAUAAGGUGAAAAUGAAUGUAGAGGAUGGAGUUUGGACACGGAAAAGUUUAAAAUUGAGAAACACAAAGCAAAAAAACUUCGAAACAAGGGCAACAUUAAAGUCUCACUGCGUACAGAAAGUAAUGAUAUUGAUGGCUUUCAGAAAUACGGCCAUGCUACUAAUGACUAAGAUGACUUCAUGUAAAUACUGUUUUGACAUGCGCAUACCAUAAGGCAUAAAAAUUGUUUGCUUAAUGAUUUUGGUAGAAAAUUAAGAUAGAAUACAUAAAAAUAGAUCGUUAUUAUUUAUAUCUAAAUCUGUACACUUAAAAAUUGUGGAUAACACAUUUCUAACAUG